This is a long non-coding RNA of Triticum dicoccoides, 414 nucleotides long. RefSeq lists it as uncharacterized. The transcript is spliced from 3 exons. The record is from RefSeq and is a predicted model, not a curated record. Lineage: Eukaryota; Viridiplantae; Streptophyta; Magnoliopsida; Poales; Poaceae.
AACUAUUUUGAUGUUUCUCUAUGCAUCAUAUGUUCUACGGUUGACCGCUAUGCUCCCAGGAUGCACUCAAAAUACUCAUAUAUUUGUUUCCCAGAUUAUUAUCAAUCCAAGGAUCAAAGAAGAAAAAAAGGGACAUAGCAAAAUUGACUUUAGAGAGCUGGACCAUGAUCUACAAAAAUGAUCACAGUUAGGGCAGAAGAAUGAUGAAGCCCCGUGCUUUUCUAACCCAGUGGUCCCUUCUGACCUAGCUAAGAGAAGAUCAUAUGGACAUUUAGGGAUAAGAUGGAAGGGAGGUAGUUCCCUAUCUGGAACUGUUUAACGUCUGCUAUUUCAUCAGACUAAUAAACAAAGCCAUGGAAUAUUCGCAUAUCUUCACUACAAAACGUGACCAAGAUGGAAGAGGCCCUCCUACAA